GAGUUUGAUCGUGGCUCAGGAUGAACGCUGGCGGCGUGCCUAAUACAUGCAAGUCGAGCGGUAAGGCUUUCACAGAUUAUUUAACCGGAUAAGUUUCUCUCAAAAGAAAUACUGUCCGCACCGGAGUUCACUGGCUAGUGAGCACCAGUUGAAUGAUGUGUGAAAGUACACGAGCGGCGGACGGCUGAGUAACGCGUAGGAACGUACCCCAUAGUGAGGGAUAAGCACCGGAAACGGUGUCUAAUACCGCAUAAUCUCUUCGGAGCAAAGCUUUAUGCGCUUUGGGAGCGGCCUGCGUACGAUUAGGUUGUUGGUGAGGUAACGGCUCACCAAGCCGACGAUCGUUAGCUGGUCUGAGAGGAUGAUCAGCCAGACUGGGACUGAGACACGGCCCAGACUCCUACGGGAGGCAGCAGUAGGAAUUUCCGCAAUGGGCGAAAGCCUGACGGAGCAACGCCGCGUGCAGGAGGAAGGCC
This 476-nucleotide ribosomal RNA is filed under the name uncultured bacterium. Its description in RNAcentral is "bacterial SSU rRNA". It matches the Rfam family "Bacterial small subunit ribosomal RNA", at positions 9 to 416 of the family's 1533-position model. The record is from RNAcentral.